AUUCAUUAACGCGUUUCACCUUUAAGGCUUUAUCAAAAUAGUUAUUUUGAUAAAGCCUUAAAGGUGAAACGCGUUAAUGGUUUUAAAUUGUGU
Pelobates cultripes (western spadefoot toad) is the source of this 93-nucleotide non-coding RNA. Lineage: Eukaryota; Metazoa; Chordata; Amphibia; Anura; Pelobatidae. The record is from the annotation of a GenBank genome assembly.